RNAcentral lists this ribosomal RNA (431 nucleotides) under Pseudodon inoscularis. RNAcentral's name for it is "partial 28S large subunit ribosomal RNA". The record is from RNAcentral. Lineage: Eukaryota; Metazoa; Mollusca; Bivalvia; Unionida; Unionidae.
UUAGAGGCAAACGGGUGGACCCGCAAUGUGUCGACUCGGGGGAUUCAACCGGGCCGUUACGCACGGGACGCGCUGGGGUUAUGCGGAGCCGUAAAGCCCGUGCCUUGGCGUGGGUCUCCGGGCGGCCUGGUGCACUUUCCUCGGGUCGAUGGCCACGGCCGGCUCUCCGUGCGGCCAGAAGCCUGUCGCUGGUAAGGUGACCGCGGUCCCGUGCCGCGGUGUUAUAGACCAGCUUGUUCGUUGAGCUCGUCGGAGGGCCGAGGAAGGUUGCCGCGUCCCGUCACCCUCUGGCCAUCCUUGCUCGUCACGACUGGGGUGGACUGUCCCGUCAGUGCUCUCCCGACCGCGAGCGUAGGAAGGGCCGGUACGGUGUGGGACUUUGCUUCGGGCCAGUGGCGAAUCGGUCGGUCCCCCACCCGACCCGUCUUGAA